RNAcentral lists this transfer RNA (64 nucleotides) under Pseudodendrothrips mori. RNAcentral describes it as "tRNA-Asn". Lineage: Eukaryota; Metazoa; Arthropoda; Insecta; Thysanoptera; Thripidae. The record is from RNAcentral.
UUAGUCAAAGCCAAAAAGAGGCUUUUUACUGUUAAUAAAAGAACUGAACUAAUUUCUGACUAUU